CCCUUAGAUGUUCUGGGCCGCACGCGCGCUACACUGAUGGAUUCAACGAGUGUUGUUCUUCGGAGCAGAUCCUUGGUCGGAAGGCCUGGGCAAUCUUGUAAAUGUCCAUCGUGAUGGGGCUAGAUUUUUGCAAUUCUGAAUCUCCAACGAGGAAUUCCUAGUAAACGCAAGUCAUCAGCUUGCAUUGAUUACGUCCCUGCCCUUUGUACACACCGCCCGUCGCACCUACCGAUUGAGUGGUCCGGUGAGGCUUUGGGAUCUGAGCGGAAAGAGCGUUUCGCUGUUUCUGCCCGGAAAACUCAGUCGAACCUUAUCAUUUAGAGGAAGGAGAAGUCGUAACA
This 341-nucleotide ribosomal RNA is filed under the name uncultured eukaryote. RNAcentral describes it as "partial 18S ribosomal RNA". It matches the Rfam family "Eukaryotic small subunit ribosomal RNA", at positions 1470 to 1796 of the family's 1831-position model. The record is from RNAcentral.